Molecule: small RNA, 39 nt
Filed under: Arabidopsis thaliana (thale cress)
Lineage: Eukaryota; Viridiplantae; Streptophyta; Magnoliopsida; Brassicales; Brassicaceae
Description: ATSL262650
Source: RNAcentral
GUUCUGAUGGUACGUUUUUUUUGGUUUUUUGCUUCUUUU